CAUAGGUUAAUGAGGCGAACCGGGGGAACUGAAACAUCUAAGUACCCCGAGGAAAAGAAAUCAACCGAGAUUCCCCCAGUAGCGGCGAGCGAACGGGGAGGAGCCCAGAGCCUGAAUCAGUGUGUGUGUUAGUGGAAGCGUCUGGAAAGGCGCGCGAUACAGGGUGACAGCCCCGUACACAAAAAUGCACAUGCUGUGAGCUCGAUGAGUAGGGCGGGACACGUGGUAUCCUGUCUGAAUAUGGGGGGACCAUCCUCCAAGGCUAAAUACUCCUGACUGACCGAUAGUGAACCAGUACCGUGAGGGAAAGGCGAAAAGAACCCCGGCGAGGGGAGUGAAAAAGAACCUGAAACCGUGUACGUACAAGCAGUGGGAGCACGCUUAGGCGUGUGACUGCGUACCUUUUGUAUAAUGGGUCAGCGACUUAUAUUCUGUAGCAAGGUUAACCGAAUAGGGGAGCCGAAGGGAAACCGAGUCUUAACUGGGCGUUAAGUUGCAGGGUAUAGACCCGAAACCCGGUGAUCUAGCCAUGGGCAGGUUGAAGGUUGGGUAACACUAACUGGAGGACCGAACCGACUAAUGUUGAAAAAUUAGCGGAUGACUUGUGGCUGGGGGUGAAAGGCCAAUCAAACCGGGAGAUAGCUGGUUCUCCCCGAAAGCUAUUUAGGUAGCGCCUCGUGAAUUCAUCUCCGGGGGUAGAGCACUGUUUCGGCAAGGGGGUCAUCCCGACUUACCAACCCGAUGCAAACUGCGAAUACCGGAGAAUGUUAUCACGGGAGA
Molecule: ribosomal RNA, 780 nt
Filed under: Escherichia coli
Lineage: Bacteria; Pseudomonadati; Pseudomonadota; Gammaproteobacteria; Enterobacterales; Enterobacteriaceae
Description: partial 23S ribosomal RNA
Rfam family: Bacterial large subunit ribosomal RNA
Source: RNAcentral